Molecule: ribosomal RNA, 254 nt
Filed under: uncultured bacterium
Lineage: Bacteria
Description: partial 16S ribosomal RNA
Rfam family: Bacterial small subunit ribosomal RNA
Source: RNAcentral
UACGUAGGGUCCGAGCGUUGUCCGGAUUUAUUGGGCGUAAAGAGCUCGUAGGCGGCUCAGUAAGUCAGAUGUGAAAACUCAGGGCUCAACCCGGAGACGCCAUCUGAUACUGCUGUGGCUUGAGUCUGGUAGGGGAUCACGGAAUUCCUGGUGUAGCGGUGAAAUGCGCAGAUAUCAGGAGGAACACCGAUGGCGAAGGCAGUGAUCUGGGCCAGUACUGACGCUGAGGAGCGAAAGCGUGGGGAGCAAACAGG